RNAcentral lists this signal recognition particle RNA (263 nucleotides) under Pseudomonadota bacterium. Its description in RNAcentral is "signal recognition particle sRNA large type". It matches the Rfam family "Bacterial large signal recognition particle RNA". From Rfam's summary of the family: The signal recognition particle (SRP) is a universally conserved ribonucleoprotein involved in the co-translational targeting of proteins to membranes. RNAcentral also lists the same sequence under 2 other names. Lineage: Bacteria; Pseudomonadati; Pseudomonadota. The record is from RNAcentral.
CCGUGCUAGGCGGGGAGCUGGCGGUGCCCUGGACCCGCAAUCCGCCAUAGCGGGGCUGAAUUCCCGCUCGAGGUCCGGCGCCGUGGUCACUGCCGCCGCUGUACGGCGAUGAUGGCUGGGUCCUGCGCGGCGGGGCGCUAUGAACCCCGUCAGGCCUGGAAGGGAGCAGCGGUAAGUAGUAGCCCCGGGCGCCGCAGGUAGGCCUGGUCGGAGCUGGUUAACGGCGGUAAGCCCGUGGUGACGGGUCGACAGCGGGUGCACGG